CUUGCCGGGGAUCGCCCCCCGUCAGCGCGUCGCGCCCACGGGGGCGUCACUG
Molecule: non-coding RNA, 52 nt
Organism: Paracoccus aminovorans
Lineage: Bacteria; Pseudomonadati; Pseudomonadota; Alphaproteobacteria; Rhodobacterales; Paracoccaceae
Source: Rfam